Molecule: transfer RNA, 72 nt
Filed under: Bacteroidales bacterium
Lineage: Bacteria; Pseudomonadati; Bacteroidota; Bacteroidia; Bacteroidales
Description: tRNA-Arg
Rfam family: tRNA
About the family: Transfer RNA (tRNA) molecules are approximately 80 nucleotides in length. Their secondary structure includes four short double-helical elements and three loops (D, anti-codon, and T loops).
Source: RNAcentral
GGCGCGGUAGUUCAACGGAUAGAAUAGAAGUUUCCUAAACUUUAGAUCUGGGUUCGAUUCCCUGCCGUGCUA